GUUAUCCUGAUUAGCUCACUUGUGAGUGCUGUUGGGCCUCCAUACCCAGAUCCUCAGGUGCCUAAUUCUGGUAAAGCUGUCCCACCUGGCUUCCCAAGGAAAUUGGUUCUUUCUUACUCAGCUCCUCCCUAAUUGUGGACUGGAGGAACUAAUUACCCUGAGACAAGGAUUUGGAGUGCUGUGGGGGGUUUUCCACUGCUUUGAAUGAGAGCAGGAUUGAACGCUUUGCGACAGUUUAAAAAGGCUAUGUACUCAUUUGAACUAAAAUUACCCAGCUGCCAGCCUGCUUGAUAGCAAUUACAUCUAAAGAGAGAAAACCACUGAACUUCAUGUAUUGGUGUCAGAACAGGCUGAUGGAGGCAACAUGGGGCAUGGCCACAAAUGGGCCGUGGGCUGUGAUGUCCCACUGCGGGGCAGGGAUCCUCCACCAGCAGGGGGCUGCAGAGCCAAAAAGCCUAAAUCCACCUCUCUACCCCUCUGAGCACCCUGCAGUAUGUGCAAUUUCUUGGCUCUUCGUUCUGCAAUUCUGAACUGCCUUAAAAGGAGACACCUUCAAUUUGGUUAAGAUACAUAAUUUGUGCUUUGUUGAUAGAUUUGUUUCUCUUACAGCGUGCCAUCACGUAACUAUCCCCAGAAAUGUUUGAUUCUUUUUUUUUUAAAUGCCAAUAACAGAUCUAGGAUAUGUGUAGCUAUAUACAUACACAGUCAAUAUGAAAGUCAGGUCCAUGAUUGUACUGGCUACACGCACACCUCAUAGUUAACGCUGCUUUAAAAAAGCCAGCAUAAAGCUUUCUGUGACUACAGCUUGCUUUAAACAAUAUAACCCUUUACUGAUAAAAUAAUAAAUAAUGUAUCUAAAUAAAUAAAAAGCGAAAUACUUUUAUUAGGUUGUUGAUAAUGUCAGUCUGAUGAAAGAAUCUGGAGUCAGGUGUCGAUGAAACAGUGUUUUGAAUUCUUCUUUACCAGCGUGGCAUUUCAAAAUGCCCAGUGUCAAGCCUGGAUAUUAUGAUAUAUGUUUCUUAUUUACUAUUACAGUUCUUAGAGCUUCUGUGCUUUGUUAUUUGAUACCUUGGCUGUUUGCUUAAACUCUGUAUGCAAAUGCAGAGCUCAAAUACAAAGCUGGAGUGUUAAGAUUAAAGGAGAACUAGGAUUCCAAGAUUAAAAAGUAAGAUGACUGUUUCCUGUAAAUAUGUAUCAUUAGUCUGAUUCUAAAAGAAUGUUUAGCAAUGAUGCAAAUAAAAAAAAAAAUAAGAAAAAUCAGCGCUGUAAAAGAAAUGGCCCUAAAUGCUUUAGAAUGCAUGGAUAGCAGAAAAGCCUUUUUCCAGCUGUAAAUGAAUGGCACGUUCUGACGCCCACUGCAAAGGUAAUCGUUAGCAGGGCCCCACAUGAUGCUUUUCGGAUGCCUUUCCUUUCUUACACAUCCUUUUCCUAUUUGACUGCAGUCUGAGCAAGCUGUGUAAGGCAGAGCCUCCAUGCCCAGCUCCUUCUCCCAGUCCCUCUAUCCCACAGAGCUGCAGCUCGGGAGCACCUGCACACAGGCACUGUCAUAGCACAGCAUUUGGGUACCAGCUCGGCCUGCAGUGUGCUUCAUCAGGAUGCUGCAGCCCGGUCUGCAGCAUGCUCACCCCUUCUGCAUCCGAGGUGGAACUUGUUGCCAAGAGAGCAGCUGGCGUUGUUAUUCGAGCUGGUAAACUUUCACCUUGGGAAUAGUAUUUCUGU
Long non-coding RNA from Phasianus colchicus (ring-necked pheasant), 1719 nucleotides. RefSeq lists it as uncharacterized. The record is from RefSeq and is a predicted model, not a curated record. NCBI's taxonomy places the organism in Eukaryota, Metazoa, Chordata, Aves, Galliformes, Phasianidae.